Molecule: long non-coding RNA, 242 nt
Filed under: Prunus persica (peach)
Lineage: Eukaryota; Viridiplantae; Streptophyta; Magnoliopsida; Rosales; Rosaceae
Description: long non-coding RNA (PPER_LNC004697)
Source: RNAcentral
UAAGAUAAAAAGAAUUCGUUUUAUUUAUUCCAAAUCUUCUAGAAAUUUAUAUUUUCUUAAAAUCACCCUAGAUACCCAAAUGUAAUAAAUUGGUUGCCAUCGGUUAGGUCAGCAUGCUUGACUUUGUCCCACGAGUCUUAGGGAUAUUUGAACCAUGUGGAGAGAGGAUUAUGGAUCAGGUUGACUAAACGUCCCAUGAGUCCUGCGAGGAUAGCGCUAAAAUCGACUCUGUGUUAUCGAGG